CAUUACCCCUCAAUUCCUUCGACAUUUCUCCUUCGUUUCCAUCUUCAAGUUCAGAGCGCUUCUCUGCUGUGUACUCUCCUUCUUUUACUACAACCCACUCUCGAAGGUUCUUUUGGCCGUUUGUAGCUAAUCUGUUGCCCACAAAGGACAACUGAAUAAGCGUCUUGUCAAAGGUGGCUUUGUUGCUACCCAAAUAUCUGUAACCACUCUCAAUCUUGAAGUUGUCAGAGCACUAGCUAGAGGAAUUCUUGCAGAAAGAACAGGAUCAAAGAAAACGAUAUAUGCAUAUGUGAAAUUGUGAUGGGGGAAGACCAAAAAGUAGAAAUGUUACGGGUGCAGGCAAGUUGUGCUAGGAAGGGAUCAACACACUAGGCGACAAUACUACCAAUGAUGUGGACUUGGAACUUGCUUAUUCUUAAUUACAUGCUGUAAAAUAUUUUUAUGAAUUAAUGUUUAUAAUUUUCUUGUGAAAUGGUUUCUGCCAUGGCAAUGAUGACCAUAUUUAUCUAAUUCUUCAUUGCACAAUCAUUUACAUUAUACUAUUCCACCGCUUAAACAAAUCUGAUGUUGAACUGAAUUGCAAGUGUUUAUACGGAGCGAGACUAAAAUUACAGUAGUUGAAGGCAGUGCCACAGUUGGAAGGUCAAGCAGGAGGAAGAAUAAUGUGCACUAAAUAACAGGGCUCAAUUCUUUU
This is a long non-coding RNA of Gastrolobium bilobum, 694 nucleotides long. RefSeq lists it as uncharacterized. NCBI's taxonomy places the organism in Eukaryota, Viridiplantae, Streptophyta, Magnoliopsida, Fabales, Fabaceae. The record is from RefSeq and is a predicted model, not a curated record. The transcript has 4 exons.